Molecule: ribosomal RNA, 525 nt
Filed under: uncultured Geothrix sp.
Lineage: Bacteria; Pseudomonadati; Acidobacteriota; Holophagae; Holophagales; Holophagaceae
Description: bacterial SSU rRNA
Rfam family: Bacterial small subunit ribosomal RNA
Source: RNAcentral
AGAGUUUGAUUCUGGCUCAGAAUGAACGCUGGCGGCGUGCCUAACACAUGCAAGUCGGAUGUGCCGCAAGGUGCAUGGCAGACGGGUGAGUAACGCGUGGGAAAUCUACCUCUUUGUGGGGAAUAACGCUCCGAAAGGAGUGGUAAUACCGCAUGAGACCGCCCCCUGGGAUGGGGGUGGUGAAACCUGGGGACCGCAAGGCCUGGGGCAAGGAGAGGAUCCUGCGUCUGAUUAGCUAGUUGGCGGGGUAAUGGCCCACCAAGGCGACGAUCAGUAGCCGGCCUGAGAGGGUGAUCGGCCACACUGGAACUGAGACACGGUCCAGACUCCUACGGGAGGCAGCAGUGGGGAAUUUUGCGCAAUGGACGAAAGUCUGACGCAGCAACGCCGCGUGGGUGAUGAAGGUCUUCGGACUGUAAAACCCUGUCGUCAGGGACGAAGGUGUGCAUGUUAAUAGCGUGUGUGCUUGACGGUACCUGGAGAGGAAGCCCCGGCUAACUCUGUGCCAGCAGCCGCGGUAAUACA